RNAcentral lists this non-coding RNA (26 nucleotides) under Mus musculus (house mouse). The record is from RNAcentral. Lineage: Eukaryota; Metazoa; Chordata; Mammalia; Rodentia; Muridae.
UAGAAUACAGGAUACUUUUGGGGACU